RNAcentral lists this ribosomal RNA (406 nucleotides) under uncultured bacterium. Its description in RNAcentral is "partial 16S ribosomal RNA". It matches the Rfam family "Bacterial small subunit ribosomal RNA", at positions 28 to 526 of the family's 1533-position model. The record is from RNAcentral.
GAUGAACGCUAGCUACAGGCUUAACACAUGCAAGUCGAGGGACCGGCGCACGGGUGAGUAACACGUAUCCAACCUACCCUUUACUCGGGGAUCGCCUUUCGAAAGAAAGAUUAAUACCCGAUAUAAAGGAUGGGGAUGCGGUCCAUUAGGUGGUUGGGGAGGUAACGGCCCACCAAGCCUUCGAUGGAUCUGGGUUCUGAGAGGCAGGUCCCCCACAUUGGAACUGAGACACGGUCCAAACUCGUACGGUGGGCAGCAGUGAGUAAUAUUGGUCAAUGGGCGUGAGCCUGAACCAGCCAAGUAGCGUGAAGGAUGAAGGCUUAUGGGUCGUAAACUUCUUUUAUAUAAGAAUAUGUAUUAUAUGAAUAAGGAUCGGCUAACUCCGUGCCAGCAGCCGCGGUAAUAC